This 87-nucleotide transfer RNA is filed under the name bacterium. RNAcentral's name for it is "tRNA-Ser". It matches the Rfam family "tRNA". From Rfam's summary of the family: Transfer RNA (tRNA) molecules are approximately 80 nucleotides in length. Their secondary structure includes four short double-helical elements and three loops (D, anti-codon, and T loops). The record is from RNAcentral. RNAcentral also lists the same sequence under 3 other names.
GGACAGGUGGCUGAGUGGUUGAAAGCACCGGUCUCGAAAACCGGCGUACCCGCAAGGGUAUCGUGAGUUCGAAUCUCACCCUGUCCG